UGAACGCUGGCGGCGUGCCUAAUACAUGCAAGUCGAGCGAACAGACGAGGAGCUUGCUCCUCUGACGUUAGCGGCGGACGGGUGAGUAACACGUGGAUAACCUACCUAUAAGACUGGGAUAACUUCGGGAAACCGGAGCUAAUACCGGAUAAUAUAUUGAACCGCAUGGUUCAAUAGUGAAAGACGGUUUUGCUGUCACUUAUAGAUGGAUCCGCGCCGCAUUAGCUAGUUGGUAAGGUAACGGCUUACCAAGGCAACGAUGCGUAGCCGACCUGAGAGGGUGAUCGGCCACACUGGAACUGAGACACGGUCCAGACUCCUACGGGAGGCAGCAGUAGGGAAUCUUCCGCAAAGGGCGAAAGCUUGACGGAGCAACGCCGCGUGAGUGAUGAAGGUCUUCGGAUCGUAAAACUCUGUUAUUAGGGAAGAACAAAUGUGUAAGUAACUAUGCACGUCCUGACGGUACCUAAUCAGAAAGCCACGGCUAACUACGUG
RNAcentral lists this ribosomal RNA (495 nucleotides) under uncultured bacterium. Its description in RNAcentral is "partial 16S ribosomal RNA". It matches the Rfam family "Bacterial small subunit ribosomal RNA", at positions 30 to 507 of the family's 1533-position model. The record is from RNAcentral.